Long non-coding RNA from Gasterosteus aculeatus aculeatus (three-spined stickleback), 1101 nucleotides. NCBI's taxonomy places the organism in Eukaryota, Metazoa, Chordata, Actinopteri, Perciformes, Gasterosteidae. The record is from Ensembl.
UGCGUUUGGUCAUAGGUAAUUGAUGAUUUUCAUAAAGGACUUGUACCUGCAGUGGAGCUGCUCUGACGUCCUGGUUGGUCACAUGACCCUGAGACCCUCUCUCUAUUGGUCAGUGCGGCCGCCUCUUCGGUUCUGAGGAAACAAACAAAACUUUGCGGUUGUUCACGCCGACAAUCAACAACAACAAUAGAUCAGUCCAUAACGGAGCCGAAGGACGAAUAUUAUCAGAUAUAAACUGUGACAUCACACCGACCCGUCCAGUCUCGCCCUCUUCGUCUCUCCUGGACCUCCGUCAGGUCCCGGUGCUCCUCGCUCUUCUUCUGUGGUUGCGGAGCCGUUGACCCGCUGAGUCAGGAGGGGUCUCCUGUAAACGGGCACGACCGGGAUUCGAACCCACGACACACUGCUCCCCGCAUCAGGUGGGAAACACCUGAGCGCACGAUGAAGUGAUCCAUCAGUUUAUUGAUGGUCAGAAAAAAACUAUAUUAACUAGUAACCUAGAACAAUAUUAACCAUAUUAACCAGUAACCUAGAACAAUUGACCAUGCUAACCAGUAACCUAGAACCAGUCCUUACCUGUCUGCUCUCUGCUGUUUGACCAUGACCAGGUGACCUUUGACUUAAACCGUCUCCUUCAGAUUAAAGUAACAACACCGGAAACACACGUUCAUAUUGAUUAUAAUACGGAUACAAUUUAUUCCAUUGAAUUACUGCUAAUUAGGGACAUAACUUGUUCAUUCUCAUUCCUUAUACAUAGAGAACAGAUAAAAACCGACUGUAACUGUUUGCGGCGUUGAGGCGACGGGUCGGUGUGACGUCAGCGGCCUGCGGGUCUCCGGUAGUCCGGCGGAGCGACGGCAGAAACACCUGGAAAGCGCGGCUCGCGCUCCAGCUUCUCUCUGGCCGGUAGAGCGGCUCAGCUUUACGGCUCGUUAUGCUUCGAUAAUGGCGAUUUAUUACCGAAGUAAACAUUACAUCUCAUCUUUGAGGUCGUCUCACCGCUCAGCGCGAGCUAACGCUAGCUAGCGGGGCUACAUGUCAACAGCCCGCCUGGUCACGUGUGAUCCGCUCAGCGCCUCCUGCUGGCCGGGAGGAGGAAAC